GACGAACGCUGGCGGCGCGCCUAACACAUGCAAGUCGAACGAGCGAGAGAGAGCUUGCUUUCUCGAGCGAGUGGCGAACGGGUGAGUAACGCGUGAGGAACCUGCCUCAAAGAGGGGGACAACAGUUGGAAACGACUGCUAAUACCGCAUAAGCCCACGGUGCCGCAUGGCACAGAGGGAAAAGGAGCAAUCCGCUUUGAGAUGGCCUCGCGUCCGAUUAGCUAGUUGGUGAGGUAAUGGCCCACCAAGGCGACGAUCGGUAGCCGGACUGAGAGGUUGAACGGCCACAUUGGGACUGAGACACGGCCCAGACUCCUACGGGAGGCAGCAGUGGGGAAUAUUGCACAAUGGGGGAAACCCUGAUGCAGCGACGCCGCGUGGAGGAAGAAGGUCUUCGGAUUGUAAACUCCUGUUGUUGGGGAAGAUAAUGACGGCACCCAACAAGGAAGUGACGGCUAACUACGUG
This 466-nucleotide ribosomal RNA is filed under the name uncultured bacterium. Its description in RNAcentral is "partial 16S ribosomal RNA". It matches the Rfam family "Bacterial small subunit ribosomal RNA", at positions 28 to 507 of the family's 1533-position model. The record is from RNAcentral.